This 437-nucleotide ribosomal RNA is filed under the name uncultured Oscillospiraceae bacterium. RNAcentral's name for it is "bacterial SSU rRNA". It matches the Rfam family "Bacterial small subunit ribosomal RNA", at positions 341 to 792 of the family's 1533-position model. Lineage: Bacteria; Bacillati; Bacillota; Clostridia; Eubacteriales; Oscillospiraceae. The record is from RNAcentral.
ACGGGAGGCAGCAGUGGGGAAUUUUGGGCAAUGGGCGAAAGCCUGACCCAGCGACGCCGCGUGAAGGAAGAAGGUCUUCGGAUUGUAAACUUCUGUCAACAGGGACGAAACAAAUGACGGUACCUGUGGAGGAAGCCACGGCUAACUACGUGCCAGCAGCCGCGGUAAUACGUAGGUGGCGAGCGUUAUCCGGAUUUACUGGGUGUAAAGGGUGUGUAGGCGGGGAAGCAAGUCAGAUGUGAAAACUAUGGGCUUAACCCAUAAAGUGCAUUUGAAACUGUUUCUCUUGAGGAUCGGAGGGGUAAAUAGAAUUCCCGGUGUAGCGGCGAAAUGCGUAGAUAUAAGGAAGAACACCAGUGGCGAAGGCGAUCUACUGGACAGUAACUGACGCUGAGGCGCGAAAGCGUGGGGAGCAAACAGGAUUAGAUACCCUGGUA